CCAAUAGCGUAUAUUAAAGUUGUUGCAGUUAAAAAGCUCGUAGUUGAAUUUUAGGCCUGGCCAGGCGGUCCGUCUUUGUCGAGUACUGUCUUGUGUCGGGUCAUCCUUCUGGUGAACCUGUAUGUCCUUUAUUGAGUGUGCUGGGGAGCCAGGACCAUUACCUUGAAAAAAUUAGAGUGUUUAAAGCGGGCUAUUGCUUGAAUAGAUUAGCAUGGAAUAAUAGAAUAGGACGUUGUGGUUCUAUUUUGUUGGUUUCUAGGACCACCGUAAUGAUUAAUAGGGAUAGUUGGGGGCAUUAGUAUUCAAUUGUCAGAGGUGAAAUUCUUGGAUUUAUUGAAGACUAACUAUUGCGAAAGCAUUUGCCAAGGAUGUUUUCAUUAAUCAAGAACGAAAGUUAGGGGAUCGAAGACGAUCAGAUACCGUCGUAGUCUUAACCAUAAACUAUGCCGACUAGGAAUCGGGCGACGUUAUUUUCAUGACUCGCUCGGCGCCUUAUG
RNAcentral lists this ribosomal RNA (497 nucleotides) under uncultured Glomeromycotina. RNAcentral's name for it is "partial small subunit ribosomal RNA". It matches the Rfam family "Eukaryotic small subunit ribosomal RNA", at positions 591 to 1092 of the family's 1831-position model. Lineage: Eukaryota; Fungi; Glomeromycota. The record is from RNAcentral.